GAGGAUGAAGAUCUUCGGGUCGUAAACUCCUUUCAUCGGACGAAUUCCUUUCGGGGUGACAAUCCGGAGGUUGACGGUACCGACAGAAUAAGCACCGGCAACUCUUGCCAGCAGCCGCGGUAAUACAGAGGGUGCGAGCGUUAAUCGGAGUUACUGGGCGUAAAGGGCGCGUAGGCGGUGAGAUGUGUGUGAUGUGAAAGCCCCGGGCAACCUGGGAAGUGCAUCGCAAACUAUCUGACUGGAGUAUAUGAGAGGGUGGCGGAAUUUCCGGUGUAGCGGUGAAAUGCGUAGAGAUCGGAAGGAACGUCAAUGGCGAAGGCAGCCACCUGGCAUAAUACUGACGCUGAGGCGCGAAAGCGUGGGGAGCGAACAGGAUUAGAUACCCUGGUAGUCCACGCUGUAAACGAUGAGGACUAGAUGUUGGUAGGGGAACCUAUCAGUAUCGAAGCUAACGCGAUAAGUCUUCCGCCUGGGAAGUACGGCCGCAAGGUUGAAACUCAAAGGAAUUGACGGGGGCCCGCACAAGCGGUGGAGCAUGUGGUUUAAUUCGAUGCAACCGAACCUUACCUACUCUUGACAUCCUGCGAAUCCCGAAGAGAUUU
RNAcentral lists this ribosomal RNA (602 nucleotides) under uncultured Aquicella sp. RNAcentral's name for it is "bacterial SSU rRNA". It matches the Rfam family "Bacterial small subunit ribosomal RNA", at positions 404 to 1009 of the family's 1533-position model. Lineage: Bacteria; Pseudomonadati; Pseudomonadota; Gammaproteobacteria; Legionellales; Coxiellaceae. The record is from RNAcentral.